GGGAAAUCUGGAGGGGAGAUACAUGGGAAUACUUUACUUUUGCAGGUGAAACACACCUCUUGCUGCAGGAGCUGGAACAGUAGUAUAGGGUUAUGGAAGGGGCCAAGUUCUGAGCCUUGCAGAACACCUACUGAAGAACACUGAGAAGCAGAGAGGGAGCUACGGUGAUCCACCUGCUAAAAUCAACCUGACAGGUCACAUUCAGACCACACUAGAGAUGACCCUUUGAUUCCAGCUGUUCUGGAAAGGACACGAGGAUCCGAAAGUCUCGGGACCUUCCGGCUCUUGUUUUGGCUAGUUGGCUCCAGCUCGUCUUUCAUCUGUCUUUUUUUUCAGCUUGACAAGCACAUCAGGCACUUUGGUGGUGGAGCAAUAUCCCACUGGACUACAUUCCUCCCACUGGGUGGACCUUCAGAUGAGCUGUGGUUACUAUUCCAUAGGAAUGGGUCCUUGUGAAGGCAGGGCAUGAUACGGACAUCCUGGAGGUGUACACAAACCGGGGUAUAAAGGUAGGGGAGCAGGAGCUCAAGGCAGUUUGCUGACUCCACUGAGACACCAUCAUGCUGACAGUCAUUUUCUUUGCUCUGCUCCUCGCUGGGAUAGACGACGGGAUAGCUGAAGAAGGAUCGGGGGAAAUCGUCAUUGAUCCCCCAGAGAUGGGGAAGACCACCUACUCCACAAAUCCUCCAGAGACUCCUCCUCCAACAUACAAGAUCAUCUAUGACACCUUCGAAGACCUGUAUGGAGGAGAAGAGGACACAGCCCCUGCUAGACUGAGAGACAACACCCUGGCCACUUCCCGCACUGUUACCCUGCUGGACCCCUUCCGCCUUGCUUCCCUUACAAUAAAAUCUGCAUGAGCUCAACCCCGCUGCAUCCACUCUGCUUGACUCCUGUGCUUGGAGUGUGUCACUCUGGGGAAACUUCUAGAAAAGGGGUUGCGAUGUCCAUAGGCUUCUUUGUGUCAGACAAGAGCCGCUGUAAAAAAAUCAAAUAAACUGGGUUCCUGUCAAGGGGUGUGAACA
This 1025-nucleotide long non-coding RNA is filed under the name Scleropages formosus (Asian bonytongue). Its description in RNAcentral is "lncRNA (ENSSFOG00015025062.1)". The record is from RNAcentral. Lineage: Eukaryota; Metazoa; Chordata; Actinopteri; Osteoglossiformes; Osteoglossidae.